This 1208-nucleotide long non-coding RNA is filed under the name Equus caballus (horse). RNAcentral describes it as "lncRNA (ENSECAG00000050093.1)". The record is from RNAcentral. Lineage: Eukaryota; Metazoa; Chordata; Mammalia; Perissodactyla; Equidae.
AUCUAUAUGAAAUUCAUUUUACUUUUAUUAAAGUAAGCCACUCGGGAAAAUCUUUCUUUUUCUUACAUUAGCAUUUCACUAAGAACACAUCACAAUUAAACAGCAUAUACACACUUGCAGAAAGAAUAGUUAGCUUAAAAUAUUUCAAGUUGUUUGUGUGUGUGUAUGUGUGUGCUUGGAUCUAUAUUAAAUUACAGAAACUCAGACAAAAAUCAUUCAAUUUUUAAGAUGAGACAUUCAAUAUAGUUUGGCCCUAAGUUGGACAACUGCUCAGUUUUUUCUUUUCAUGAUAAUAUUUUUUAUUAUUCAGUCUUACUUGAUACAUAGUGCCCACUUUCAAAGGAAGAGAUUUUUGACAACUUUAUCAGGCAUAUCUAUGUUCUGUCAACUGAUUUUAAAACCAAGAGUUGCAAAGUGUCAUCUUUGGUCCCCACCUCACAAUAUACUAACCUCAUUCAAUAUAAAUGUCACAAUAUUCAACUAAAUUUUGUUAUCACUUAGAUAUUGGAAACAAGACUUCAAAUUAGCAUAGAUACUGAGGACCAUUCACAGCACUAAAAAUAAAACUUUAUUUUGCCAUCUUUAUGUGUAGAAUGAAAAGUCUCUUGAGAGCCUAUCUUAAUCCCUUGUUCCCAAGAGAAAGCUUUACAGUUGUCUCAUCUGAUCAUCAGAAACAAGAAAAUGACAGCGCUGUAUGUUGACUGUUCUCUCACUGUACUGGUUUCCUAUGCUGCAUACAAAUUCGCAAAGACUUAGUAGUCUAGAACAACAUCCGUUUGUUAUCUCGAAGUUUCUGUAGGUCAGAAAUCCAGGUAGGCUCAACAGGUUCCUCUGUUCAGAGUCUCACCAGGGUGAAUUCAAAGGCUCAGAUGGGCUAGUCCUUUCUAGAGCAUCUGGAGAAGAGUUCGCUUCCAUGCUCAUUUAUGUUAUUGGCAGAAUACAGUUCCAGGCUUCAGCGGGACUAAGGUCCCCAUUUCCUUACUUGCUGUCAGUUGAGGGCAGAGGGGUGAGGGUAAGGCUCUGCUCCUUAAGGCCAAGUGCAUUUCUUCUAAUAUUGCUCUUUUUAUCUUCAAAGCCAGCAACGCGCAUCAAGUUCUUUUCACACUUCAAAUCUCCCUGACUUUCUCCUUCUUCCUCUGCAUGUUGGGGCCUGUGUGAUGCAAUUAGACCUACUUGGAUAAUCUCCCUUUUGUCAUAGUGCGGGGUCU